UUUGUGGUGUAAGUAUUUCCCAUGCAGUAUUUGGCACAUACUUCUGCUAAAA
This 52-nucleotide microRNA precursor is filed under the name Marmota monax (woodchuck). Lineage: Eukaryota; Metazoa; Chordata; Mammalia; Rodentia; Sciuridae. The record is from RNAcentral.